Molecule: long non-coding RNA, 401 nt
Filed under: Anser brachyrhynchus (Pink-footed goose)
Lineage: Eukaryota; Metazoa; Chordata; Aves; Anseriformes; Anatidae
Description: lncRNA (ENSABRG00000006690.1)
Source: RNAcentral
GAGGCUCAGCUUGGGGACAACUAGUUUGUUGCCAAAUAAAACCAGAUUGGCCCUGAGGUGGGGCCUCUGGAACCGGCUGGGACAGGCCUGAGGCAGCCGUGGCCUGUCCUUAGAGCAGAGGACUCUCCUCACUUGCAGGCCCACUGCACGUGCUGAGGCUUCAUGUCGCAAGGCGCUGUUGUGUGGUAGGAAUCUUUACAUCUGCCCCACAUCUCUGCUGCUAUGCCUCAUCAGAUCAACCCUCUGGGCUUGAAGAAGUGCCAUCCAGGCAUGCUAAUAAUGCUUUUAGAGGUUUAUACAAUUUUCUCAGUAAGCACCUUUUAAUUUUCUGAACUAUUUUGUGUACAAAGCAAUGCGCAUCCAUAGUAAUGUGAAAUAAAACAAUCUAGGGAUUGUAUUCA